GAGCCUACAGGACGCAGCAGUGGGGAAUAUUGCACAAUGGGGGAAACCCUGAUGCAGCAACGCCGCGUGAGUGAAGAAGUAUUUCGGUAUGUAAAGCUCUAUCAGCAGGGAAGAAGAGAGACGGUACCUGACUAAGAAGCCCCGGCUAACUACGUGCCAGCAGCCGCGGUAAUACGUAGGGGGCAAGCGUUAUCCGGAUUUACUGGGUGUAAAGGGAGCGUAGACGGCAUAGCAAGUCUGAAGUGAAAGCACGUG
RNAcentral lists this ribosomal RNA (255 nucleotides) under uncultured bacterium. RNAcentral's name for it is "partial 16S ribosomal RNA". It matches the Rfam family "Bacterial small subunit ribosomal RNA", at positions 334 to 606 of the family's 1533-position model. The record is from RNAcentral.